This is a long non-coding RNA of Megalopta genalis, 1618 nucleotides long. RefSeq lists it as uncharacterized. NCBI's taxonomy places the organism in Eukaryota, Metazoa, Arthropoda, Insecta, Hymenoptera, Halictidae. The record is from RefSeq and is a predicted model, not a curated record.
AUCGACGGGCGAAGUAGUCACGGACGUGCUCUCUCUCUCUCUCUCUCUCUCUCUGCAGGACGAAAUAAUGUUUCGUUGGUCGAUCCUGUGCCGCGAAGCGUCGACGAAAUCCGUGUUUCUCGGGACACGCGACCGGCGUACGAUGCUACGUUGCGUAUGGUCAGCGUAGCGCGGUCUCGCGACAGCGUGCUCUAUGUGUCAUUCGUGCUUCGGUGACUUGCGUUAUGUUCGGCCGUCCGACCUUGUCCAAGUUCAGAACGUUCGAGAAAUUCUGACGCAAGCCGCUGCGAAUCGAUCGGCAGUCGCGAACUCGGGUAUCGUUCGCGUUCGCAUUCUUGUUCGCAUCGACCGGUCGGUGCAACGGCCGGCGACGAAUCCGCGAACGUGGAAGCGGUCCGAUCGAAUCGAACGCCGAUUUCGUACGCGUUCGUUCGUCGAACACCGAGAAACGACCCGAUCGGUUCGCGAGAGUUUACCGAUAACGAGCAACCCGGUGGUGCACCGUCGCACCGAUCGAGUUCACCGGCUUACGAAGAUUACGUCACCGUGCCACGAUCGAUUCGCGGAGCAACGUCGUAUUCGAGAAGCUUCCAUCGCGUUACCCUCGCCGCGAAUCGGCCGAAUCGGUGUAAUUUUCUGUUCGACGCGUUCACCAGAUUCGUCCUAACGCGGACCAGGCCCCGGCUUUCGCGGAUUACAUAUAUCCAUCCGACGGAUUCUUGCGUCAUCCUUAACAGACGACAAUUGGAUGUUGUUUCAAUUCGACGCGGUAUUGAGUCAUCCGGGUCGAUAAGGUGUUAAACGUACGUUUUUACUUGUUAUCUCUAAUUGCGAGCGAUACGUACACGUAUGUAUAUAUAUAUAUAUACAUACAUACACACGCGUAUUUGUUUUAGCUGGUAACCCGUCUAUGCGAUUCGAGAAACGCGAUAUCUACGAAUUACGACGCGUUUUCUUUUCUUCUUUUUUCUUUUUUUCAUUUCUAUUUCGAGCUGUUUGCUCCGUCGACGAAACUUUACGCGAUCGACUCCUCCGCGAACGUGCCCGAGCAACGCUAAUUGCGCCGUUGACGAUCGCUUUGUUUCGCGGGUUAAAUUGUCGUUGAUCGAAGAGAACGCUGUACGUUGUAGCAACGAUGGUCGAAUGUAAAUUUAGUGAUCGCGUACCAUUUUUCGAAGACGUCAGCGUUCCCGAAUUAAUCCCGAGCCAAUUUUACGUUUCGCGGCAUCUGGGAGGACGAACGGUGGACCCGACCGCGAAGACAGCCGCUACCGUUGCUAGCGCUACCGCUACGUCGACGACGACAAGUACCGUGUACAUCUUGGUCUUGACGAGCGCGAACACGGUCUCCGGGAAGCCGGGAAGCCGGGAGGAGGACAUUUUGCUAUACCGGGAGCCCGGGUAGAGCAAAGAGAAGAGAAGAGACACGGCCGAGAGAACGGACGGAUCCGCGAGAAGAUAGCAGUUGGGUUGACAGCAACGGCGCGCAAUAGUAGCAUCGUUGAGCGAACCACGCGCGGGUAGAAUGUGGGACGGAAGUCGAUGCGUUGAGAGGAGUAGGGACCCCGGCGAACGGAGCGACGAAGAAACGUCGAGAGGCGAAUAGGGAAGAGAAAAA